AGACGUCUACAUUAGAUACCCGGGUAGUCCCAGCCGUAAACUAUGCGCGUUAGGUGUAUCGGUGACCACGAGUUACCGAGGUGCCGAAGGGAACCGUGAAACGUGCCGCCGUGGGAAGUACGGUCGCAAGGCUGAAACUUAAAGGAAUUGGCGGGGAGCACCACAACAGGUGGAGCCUGCGGUUUAAUUGGACUCAACGCCGGGAAGCUCACCGGAUAGGACAGCAGAAUGAUUGCCGGGCUGAAGACCCUGCAUGACUAGCUG
RNAcentral lists this ribosomal RNA (264 nucleotides) under uncultured archaeon. RNAcentral's name for it is "partial 16S ribosomal RNA". It matches the Rfam family "Archaeal small subunit ribosomal RNA", at positions 717 to 982 of the family's 1478-position model. The record is from RNAcentral.